AUGAAUUAUAAAUAUGAAAUCUUUUCUCGGGGCAAUUCCCACCGACCAAGGUGGGGAGAAGAGCAAGGACUGUGUGCGAGACAUCCUUCUUCUGAAACAUGCUUUGUUAAGGUGAGCGUCAUUGAGAAGCAGAUGAAAUGUCCCACCUGCUGCUGGUUUGAUGCAUUCUUUCUGAUGAGAAGGAUGAAGACUGUGUCUGACAGAGCCAAACUUAAAAAAAAAAAAAACAAAAAAACCCUUUGA
Molecule: long non-coding RNA, 243 nt
Filed under: Apteryx rowi (Okarito brown kiwi)
Lineage: Eukaryota; Metazoa; Chordata; Aves; Apterygiformes; Apterygidae
Description: lncRNA (ENSARWG00000000212.1)
Source: RNAcentral